Molecule: ribosomal RNA, 504 nt
Filed under: uncultured bacterium
Lineage: Bacteria
Description: partial 16S ribosomal RNA
Rfam family: Bacterial small subunit ribosomal RNA
Source: RNAcentral
AACGAACGCUGGCAGCGUGGAUUAGGCAUGCAAGUCGAACGGGAUCCGGAAGGUAGCAAUACCGGCCGGUGAGAGUGGCGGAAGGGCGAGGAGCACGUGGACAACCUGUCCCGUGGGUGGGGAUACCGUCCCGAAAGGGGCGUUAAUACCGAAUGGGGCCCCGGACCGCAUGGUCCGGCGGCCAAAGGCGGGGACCGCAAGGCCCGCCCCCCCGGGAGGGGUCCGCGCACCAUCAGCUAGACGGCGGGGUAACGGCCUACCGUGGCUUACGGUUAGCUGGUCUGAGAGGACGACCAGCCGCACUGGGACUGAGACACUGCCCAGACUCCUACGGGAGGCUGCAGUCGAGGAUCAUUCGCAAUGGGCGAAAGCCUGACGAUGCGACGCUGCGUGGAGGAUGAAGGCCCUCGGGUCGUAAACUCCUGUCAUGGGGGGCGAGGCGGAGGCGGUUAACGGCCGCCCGAGUUGACGGUACCCCAAGAGGAAGCCACGGCUAACUCUGUG